UACAGAGGUCUCAAGCGUUGUUCGGAUUCAUUGGGCGUAAAGGGUGCGUAGGCGGCGCGGUAAGUCGGGUGUGAAAUCUCGGAGCUUAACUCCGAAACUGCAUUCGAUACUGCCGUGCUUGAGGACUGGAGAGGAGACUGGAAUUUACGGUGUAGCGGUGAAAUGCGUAGAUAUCGGUAGGAACACCAGUGGCGAAGGCGGUCUCCUGGAGCAGACUUGACGCUGAGGCGCGAAAGCUGGGGGAGCGAACGGG
This 253-nucleotide ribosomal RNA is filed under the name uncultured bacterium. RNAcentral's name for it is "partial 16S ribosomal RNA". It matches the Rfam family "Bacterial small subunit ribosomal RNA", at positions 524 to 776 of the family's 1533-position model. The record is from RNAcentral.